AAGUUGGCCUCUGCGGGGACGCUGAUGGCCUGAGACAGUGGAUGCGUCCUAUUAGCUAGCUGGUGGGGUAAGGGCCUACCAUGGCGACGAUGGGUAGCUGGUCUGAUAGGAUGAUCAGCCACACUGGGACUGCGACACGGUCCAGACUCCUACGGGAGGCAGCAGUGGGGAAUUUUGCGCAAUGGGCGCAAGCCUGACGCAGCAACGCCGUGUGCAUGACGACGCCUUUCGAGGUGUAAAGUGCUGUCGACCGGGACGAAGGGGCGAGGGUGAACAGCUUUCGCGCAUGACGGUACCGGUGGAGGAAGCCCCGGCUAACUCCGUGCCAGCAGCCGCGGUAAGACGGAGGGGGCGAGCGUUGUUCGGAAUUACUGGGCGUAAAGCGCGCGCAGUGCGGUGCAGCAAGUGGUGCGUGAAAGCCCUCGGCUUAACCGGGGACGGGCGUGCCAAACUGUUGGACUGGAGUGCCGGAGGGGGAGGCGGAAUUCCUGGUGGAGCGGUGAAAUGCGUAGAGAUCAGGAAGAACGUCGGUGGCGAAGGCGGCCUCCUGGACGGACACUGACGCUGAGGUGCGACAGCGUGGGGAGCGAACGGGAUUAGAUACCCCGGUAGUCCACGCCGUAAACGAUGGGUACUAGGUGUGGGGCUAGUGAUGAGGCCCGUGCCGGAGCUAACGCAGUAAGUACCCCGCCUGGGGAGUACGGUCGCAAGGCUGAAACUCAAAGGAAAUGACGGGGGCCCGCACAAGCGGUGGAGCAUGUGGUUCAAUUCGACGCAACGCGCAGAACCUUACAUAGGUUUGACAUG
RNAcentral lists this ribosomal RNA (807 nucleotides) under uncultured organism. RNAcentral's name for it is "bacterial SSU rRNA". It matches the Rfam family "Bacterial small subunit ribosomal RNA", at positions 202 to 988 of the family's 1533-position model. The record is from RNAcentral.